Danio aesculapii is the source of this 3224-nucleotide RNA transcript. It is a transcript of the gene named gastrula zinc finger protein XlCGF8.2DB, with no coding region annotated. The record is from RefSeq and is a predicted model, not a curated record. Lineage: Eukaryota; Metazoa; Chordata; Actinopteri; Cypriniformes; Danionidae. The transcript has 5 exons.
GUCAUAAGGCUGCUGCAGGAGCCGUCAGAUGAAAGGACAAAAACAUAGCGGAAGACUCCUUAAGAAUGCACCAUUAUUGAGAUGGCGUUUAUUAAAGAAGAGAUUAAAGAAGAGUUUGAAGACGUGAAGAUCGAAGAAACCCUCAGUGUGAAAAAAGAGGAUCCCGAUGAACAAACAGACAGAGCGAGACUGCCAGACAAUCAUCAACAGCCCGACGUUCCUCCGCAACAACCCAAACCAAAAGUACCAUUCAGAAGAAAGACACUGUUUGAAAAGGUCACCGAGAAAAAACGGCUGGAUCAAAUAAGAUCGAAAACCCGAAUUAAUAUCGGCGCUUCGUUUCAUCGCUGGAGACAGCUACAGCACUCAAAGGGGCUGAAAAACGACGCCAUGGUUGCAGAAUUUCUUUUGGACUAUUACGAGCGAACUACAACAUCCGCACCUUUGCUGUAUGGAACUGUAACGCCGCCACCCCCAGAUGAGUCGAUGGUUCAUUCUAAGCCUUGCAGCUAAUUAGACAGGAAGCGAAAGAGGAAAAUCAGUAUGAGAAACGUGAUGAUGUCCCGACUGGUGAAAAAUCCACAUGGGUUGAGGAGACUUCAAGUAAAGGAACCCCGAAAAUCAAAUCUAACAUUUGUUCACCGGCCCUCAGUGUGGAAAGAGCUUCAGUCAAAAACAAAACCUUGAAGUCCACAUGAGGAUUCACACCGGAGAGAAGCCUUUCACCUGCCGGCAGCGUGGAAGCAGUUUCAUUUAAAAGGGCCAUCUGAAGAAACACAUGAGGAUUCACAGCGGAGGGAAACCGCACACAUGUCAACACUGUGGAAAGAGUUUCAGAGCAGACCUAAACCUUAAAUACCACCUGCGAUGUCACUCUGGAGGAAGACCUUAUGCCUGCCCCCAGUGUGGGAAGAGCUUCACGCAGAACAACACUCUCAAUUUCCACAUGGAAAUCCACACCGGAGAGAGAUGUUUCAGCUGCCAGCAGUGCGGGAAAUGUUUCAGAGAUUGAAUAACCACACGACGAGCCACAGCGCAGAGAAGCCGUUCGCUUGUGAUCUGUGUGACAAGAGCUUCAGAGCUGAACCCAACCUCAGGUGCCACAUGAACAUCCACACCAGAGAGAAACUCUUCACCUGGGAUCGCUGCGCCAAAAGUUUCUCGCGUAAAGUCAGCCUCAAGUCCCACCUGAGACUUUACUCAGAGGACAACUGCUUUAAGUGUAGUCAGUGCGGAAAGUGUUUCAGUCAUAAAAGCAGGUUCGACACUCACCUGAGAAUUCACAUCGGAGAAAAGCCUUUCAGCUGCAAGCUGUGCGGGAAGAGCUUCUCGCAAAGAGGAAAUCGUCCAGUAUAUGUGAGGGGGCUCAUGAAAGAAUAAGAUUACGUUAAAACCAAGCACACCAUUGUUUUUCUUGUGAAAUGCUAAAUAAGUUUGAUCUGUCACAUGACCCUCUUCCUAUUGAAAAAAACAAAAGUUGGAUUCAAGAUGGCGACUUCAAAAUGGCCACCGUGGUCACCACCCAUCUUGAAAAGUUUGCCCCCUCACAUAUACUAAUGUGCCACAAACAGGACGUUAAUAUCACCAACCAUUCCCAUUUUAUUAAGGUGUAUCCAUAUAAAUGGCUCACCCUGGUCAUACACCAUUUUGUCAUAAUCACUUGACCCAACCAGGUGAGUUGCGUCACUUCACUCCCAUUCAUGUAUUCUGGCAUCAUGGGAUAGCAUAUCAUAUACUAUAUAGUAUGGAAGAAUGCAAUUUUGGACGCAGCCUUGGUCAAGAUGAUCUGCUGCAGUUCACACCGAGCAUCAGAAUGGGGAAGAAAGAUGAUUUAAGGGACUUUGAACGUGGCAUGGUUGUUGGUGCCAGACGGGCUGGUCUGGGUAUUUCAGAAACUGCUGAUCUACUGGGAUUUUCACGCACAACCAUCUCUAGGGUUUACAGAGAAUGGUCUGAAAAAGGGAAAAUAUCCAGUGAGCGGCAGUUCUGUGGGCGCAAAUGCCUGGUUGAUGCCAGAGGUCAGAGGAGAAUGGCCAGACUGGUUCCAGGUGAUAGAAAGGCAACAGUAACUCAAAUAACCACUCGUUACAACCGAGGUCUGCAGAAGAGCAUCUCUGAACACACAACAUGUCCAACCUUGAGGCGGAUGGGCUACAGCAGCAGAAGACCACACCGGCUGCCGCUCCUGUCAGCUAAGAACAGGAAACUGAGGCUACAAUUCACACCGGCUCACCAAACCUGGACAAUAGAAGAUUGGAGAAACGUUGCUUGGUCUGAUGAGUCUACAUUUCUGCUGACACAUUCAGAUGGUCGGGUCAAAAUUUGGCAUCAACAACAUGAAAGCAUGGAUUCAUCCUGCCUUGUAUCAACAGUUCAGGUUGGUGGUGGUGUAAUGGUGAGGGGGAUAUUUUCUUGGGCUCAUUAGUACCAAUUGAGCAUGGUGUCAACGCCACAGCCUACCUGAGUAUUGUUGCUGACCAUGUCCAUCCCUUUAUGACCACAGUGUCUUCAUCUUCUGAUGACUACUUCCAGCAGGAUAACGCACCAUGUCAUAAAGCACCAAUCAUCUCAGACUGGUUUCCUGAACAUGACAAUGAGUUCACUGUACUCAAACGGCCUCCACAGUCACCAGCUCUCAAUCCAAUAAAGCACCUUUGAGAUGUCGUUGAAAGGGACAUCCACAGAUCAUGGAUGUGCAGCUGACAAAUCUGCAGCACUGCGUGAUGCUAUCAUGGAGGUAAAUCUCUGAGGAAUAUUUCCAGUAGCUUGUUGAAUCUACGCCACGAAGGAUUAAGGCAGUUCUGAGCGCAAAAGGGGUCCAAGCCGGUACUAGUAAGGUGUACCUAAUAAAGUGGCUGGUGAGUGUGUUGCUGCAGCAUAAAUUGACUUGUUGCUGUUGACUAUUGUAUUGAGGCGUCACUUCAUCACAAAUAUCGAUAUUUCAAAAUGAAAAAUAAAAAGCUCUCCCACCAUUGAUGAAAUAAGUCAUCAAUUAGGACGAAAUGCUUCACCACCACUGACAAGUUUCUAAAGCAAUCUGUGUUUUAGGUAUAUUAUGAUAAGAGAAGCCUUAAUGCAGGUCCUGAGUUAUUUAAAGGACAUCUGAAGUUCUUUUGAGGGAAAUAUAAGCUUGUCAGAGAAAUUAAAAGUAAAAUGAUAAAUUCACUAUUGAUAACUGUUAGUAAUUAUAUGUGCACAUCAAAAUUAAAUAAACACUUAGUUAA